UGGGGAAUCAUGGUCAAUGGGCGAAAGCCUGAACCUGCGACGCCGCGUGAGUGAUGAAGGUCGUAAGAUCGUAAAACUCUUUUCAGGGAUCUUAAAGCCUGUCUGUCAACAACAGGCAGGUCUGACUCUCCCUGGAAGAAGCCCCAGCCAACUACGUGCCAGCAGCUGCGGUAAUACGUAGGGGGCGAGCGUUAUUCGGAAUUACUGGGUGUAAAGCGCGUGUGGGUGGUUCUGUAAGUAGGGCGUGAAAGCUCCUGGCUGAACUGGGAGAGGCCGUUCGAA
RNAcentral lists this ribosomal RNA (282 nucleotides) under uncultured prokaryote. RNAcentral's name for it is "partial 16S ribosomal RNA". It matches the Rfam family "Bacterial small subunit ribosomal RNA", at positions 355 to 631 of the family's 1533-position model. The record is from RNAcentral.